RNAcentral lists this ribosomal RNA (740 nucleotides) under uncultured bacterium. Its description in RNAcentral is "bacterial SSU rRNA". It matches the Rfam family "Bacterial small subunit ribosomal RNA", at positions 48 to 789 of the family's 1533-position model. The record is from RNAcentral.
CUUACACAUGCAAGUCGAACGGUAGAGUAGCAAUACUCGAGAGUGGCGAACGGGUGAGUAAUAUAUCGGAACGUGCCCAGUCGUGGGGGAUAACGUAGAGAAAUUUACGCUAAUACCGCAUACGAUCUAAGGAUGAAAGCGGGGGAUCGCAAGACCUCGCGCGAUUGGAGCGGCUGAUAUCAGAUUAGGUUGUUGGUGAGGUAAAAGCUCACCAAGCCGACGAUCUGUAGCUGGUUUGAGAGAACGACCAGCCACACUGGGACUGAGACACGGCCCAGACUCCUACGGGAGGCAGCAGUGGGGAAUUUUGGACAAUGGGCGAAAGCCUGAUCCAGCAAUGCCGCGUGCAGGAAGAAGGCCUUCGGGUUGUAAACUGCUUUUGUACGGAACGAAACGGUCUGCUUUAAUACAGUGGGCUAAUGACGGUACCGUAAGAAUAAGCACCGGCUAACUACGUGCCAGCAGCCGCGGUAAUACGUAGGGUGCGAGCGUUAAUCGGAAUUACUGGGCGUAAAGCGUGCGCAGGCGGUUAUAUAAGACAGUUGUGAAAUCCCCGGGCUCAACCUGGGAAUUGCAUCUGUGACUGUAUAGCUAGAGUACGGUAGAGGGGGAUGGAAUUCCGCGUGUAGCAGUGAAAUGCGUAGAUAUGCGGAGGAACACCGAUGGCGAAGGCAAUCCCCUGGACCUGUACUGACGCUCAUGCACGAAAGCGUGGGGAGCAAACAGGAUUAGAUACCCUG